This is a long non-coding RNA of Cyanistes caeruleus (blue tit), 392 nucleotides long. RefSeq lists it as uncharacterized. The record is from RefSeq and is a predicted model, not a curated record. NCBI's taxonomy places the organism in Eukaryota, Metazoa, Chordata, Aves, Passeriformes, Paridae.
AACCAAUCAUCGCUCGCUACCAAACCGGAACGGGCGUGGAAAGCAAGAGCAUGCCGGGAGGGAGGGAGUGGGCGCUGCCGGAGUAGGAAGAAAGCGCGUACGCAGGACCAGCAUUCGGGACUGGAGCGGGGUCCGCGCCGCAGCGGCUGGCGCCAGGCACAAGAUGGCGGCCAUUGCUCCGAGGAGGUGCUGUCCCCGCCGCUCCGCAGGACUAUCCCGGCAAAGUCCCGACCGGCCGUGCCUGCCGUUCCCAGCGCAGCCCCUGGGCCUUCUGGGGCCGGACCACCUGAGACACGGCGUCUCUCCGGGCCGGAGCAGCGCGGGGCAUGCGGGACUCUAUUGUGAGGCAUAUGUUUAGAUGACCAAUAAUAGACAAUAGGUGCAUUAAUGUA